RNAcentral lists this ribosomal RNA (218 nucleotides) under uncultured bacterium. Its description in RNAcentral is "partial 16S ribosomal RNA". It matches the Rfam family "Bacterial small subunit ribosomal RNA", at positions 113 to 334 of the family's 1533-position model. The record is from RNAcentral.
AUGCCUAGGAAUCUGCCUGGUAGUGGGGGAUAACGUCCGGAAACGGGCGCUAAUACCGCAUACGUCCUGAGGGAGAAAGUGGGGGAUCUUCGGACCUCACGCUAUCAGAUGAGCCUAGGUCGGAUUAGCUAGUUGGUGGGGUAAAGGCCUACCAAGGCGACGAUCCGUAACUGGUCUGAGAGGAUGAUCAGUCACACUGGAACUGAGACACGGUCCAG